AAUCAAUUAGUUGGUUGAUUCGACUCAUAAUCGAUUGGUCACUGGUUCAAGUCCAGUAGGGGCCACCA
This 68-nucleotide transfer RNA is filed under the name Gilliamella sp. Bim1-2. RNAcentral describes it as "tRNA-Leu". It matches the Rfam family "tRNA", at positions 10 to 71 of the family's 71-position model. From Rfam's summary of the family: Transfer RNA (tRNA) molecules are approximately 80 nucleotides in length. Their secondary structure includes four short double-helical elements and three loops (D, anti-codon, and T loops). The record is from RNAcentral. RNAcentral also lists the same sequence under 3 other names. Lineage: Bacteria; Pseudomonadati; Pseudomonadota; Gammaproteobacteria; Orbales; Orbaceae.